RNAcentral lists this ribosomal RNA (433 nucleotides) under uncultured bacterium. RNAcentral describes it as "partial 16S ribosomal RNA". It matches the Rfam family "Bacterial small subunit ribosomal RNA", at positions 29 to 507 of the family's 1533-position model. The record is from RNAcentral.
AGCGAACGCUGGCGGCAGGCCUAACACAUGCAAGUCGAACGAACUCUUCGGAGUUAGUGGCGGACGGGUGAGUAACACGUGGGAACGUGCCUUUAGGUUCGGAAUAACUCAGGGAAACUUGUGCUAAUACCGAAUGUGCCCUUCGGGAGAAAGAUUUAUCGCCUUUAGAGCGGCCCGCGUCUGAUUAGCUAGUUGGUGAGGUAAAGGCUCACCAAGGCGACGAUCAGUAGCUGGUCUGAGAGGAUGAUCAGCCACAUUGGGACUGAGACACGGCCCAAACUCCUACGGGAGGCAGCAGUGGGGAAUCUUGCGCAAUGGGCGAAAGCCUGACGCAGCCAUGCCGCGUGAAUGAUGAAGGUCUUAGGAUUGUAAAAUUCUUUCACCGGGGACGAUAAUGACGGUACCCGGAGAAGAAGCCCCGGCUAACUUCGUG